AUUUAGAGGAAGUAAAAGUCGUAACAAGGUUUCCGUAGGUGAACCUGCGGAAGGAUCAUUAUUGAAAUAAACUUGGUGUAGGUUGCAGCUGGCCCUUUUGGGCAUGUGCUCGCCUUCAUCAUAUUUAUAUUUCCACCUGUGCACCUUCUGUAGACAAGAAAGAAAAAGGGAUUUAUUGUGGUGUCAUUCUGGCCCCGUUUAUUCUUUGUGUAUUUCUUGUCUAUGUUUUUUUAUAUACCCCAAAAAAUGUAACAGAAUGUUAAUCUAUGGGCCUUUGUGCCUAUAAACAAAAAAUUAUACAACUUUCAGCAACGGAUCUCUUGGCUCUCGCAUCGAUGAAGAACGCAGCGAAAUGCGAUAAGUAAUGUGAAUUGCAGAAUUCAGUGAAUCAUCGAAUCUUUGAACGCACCUUGCGCUCCUUGGUAUUCCGAGGAGCAUGCCUGUUUGAGUGUCAUUAAAUUCUCAAAAAAAGAACCUUUGGUAGUAUUAUCAAUGGCUUUUUCUUUGGAUGUGAGGGUUUUAUUGUUGGCGAAAGUCAACUCCCUUGAAAUGAAUUAGCUUGGUUGACAAGACUUUGUCUAUUGGUGUGAUAAUUAUCUACGCCAUUGGAUUGUCUGUUUGUUGAACUGCUUCUAAUUGUCCCUUUUGGGACUAUUAAAUGACCAUUUGACCUCAAAUCAGGUAGGACUACCCGCUGAACUUAAGCAUAUCAAUAAG
RNAcentral lists this ribosomal RNA (717 nucleotides) under Phaeocollybia attenuata. RNAcentral's name for it is "eukaryotic LSU rRNA". The stretch from base 301 to 454 matches the Rfam family "5.8S ribosomal RNA". The record is from RNAcentral. Lineage: Eukaryota; Fungi; Basidiomycota; Agaricomycetes; Agaricales; Phaeocollybiaceae.